Non-coding RNA from Potamilus streckersoni, 72 nucleotides. NCBI's taxonomy places the organism in Eukaryota, Metazoa, Mollusca, Bivalvia, Unionida, Unionidae. The record is from the annotation of a GenBank genome assembly.
UCCUAUGGCCUAGUGGUUAGAGCGUUCGCCCCGGAUGCGGGAGGUCGCGGGUUCGAACUCCUGCUAGGUCAU